AGUGAACGCUGGCGGUAGGCCUAACACAUGCAAGUCGAACGGCAGCACAGAGGAGCUUGCUCCUUGGGUGGCGAGUGGCGGACGGGAGAGGAAUACAUCGGAAUCUACUCUGUCGUGGGGGAUAACGUAGGGAAACUUACGCUAAUACCGCAUACGAGCUACGGGUGAAAGCAUGGGAUCUUCGGACCUUGCGCGAUUGAAUGAGCCGAUGUCGGAUUAGCUAGUUGGCGGGGUAAAGGCCCACCAAGGCGACGAUCCGUAGCUGGUCUGAGAGGAUGAUCAGCCACACUGGAACUGAGACACGGUCCAGACUCCUACGGGAGGCAGCAGUGGGGAAUAUUGGACAAUGGGCGCAAGCCUGAUCCAGCCAUACCGCGUGGGUGAAGAAGGCCUUCGGGUUGUAAAGCCCUUUUGUUGGGAAAGAAAUCCAUCUGGUUAAUACCCGGGUGGGAUGACGGUACCCAAAGAAUAAGCACCGGCUAACUUCGUGCCAGCCGCCGCGGUAA
This 506-nucleotide ribosomal RNA is filed under the name uncultured bacterium. RNAcentral describes it as "partial 16S ribosomal RNA". It matches the Rfam family "Bacterial small subunit ribosomal RNA", at positions 29 to 523 of the family's 1533-position model. The record is from RNAcentral.